RNAcentral lists this ribosomal RNA (2892 nucleotides) under Pseudomonas savastanoi pv. phaseolicola. RNAcentral describes it as "bacterial LSU rRNA". It matches the Rfam family "Bacterial large subunit ribosomal RNA". Lineage: Bacteria; Pseudomonadati; Pseudomonadota; Gammaproteobacteria; Pseudomonadales; Pseudomonadaceae. RNAcentral also lists the same sequence under 2 other names. The record is from RNAcentral.
UCAAGUGAAGAAGCGCAUACGGUGGAUGCCUUGGCAGUCAGAGGCGAUGAAAGACGUGGUAGCCUGCGAAAAGCUUCGGGGAGUCGGCAAACAGACUGUGAUCCGGAGAUAUCUGAAUGGGGGAACCCAGCCAUCAUAAGAUGGUUAUCUUGUACUGAAUACAUAGGUGCAAGAGGCGAACCAGGGGAACUGAAACAUCUAAGUACCCUGAGGAAAAGAAAUCAACCGAGAUUCCCUUAGUAGUGGCGAGCGAACGGGGACCAGCCCUUAAGUUGUAUUGAGAUUAGCGGAACGUUCUGGAAAGGACGGCCAUAGUGGGUGAUAGCCCUGUACGCGAAAAUCCUUUUGCAAUGAAAUCGAGUAGGACGGGGCACGAGAAACCUUGUCUGAAUAUGGGGGGACCAUCCUCCAAGGCUAAAUACUACUGACUGACCGAUAGUGAACCAGUACCGUGAGGGAAAGGCGAAAAGAACCGCGGAGAGCGGAGUGAAAUAGAUCCUGAAACCGUAUGCGUACAAGCAGUGGGAGCCCACUUUGUUGGGUGACUGCGUACCUUUUGUAUAAUGGGUCAGCGACUUAUUUUCAGUGGCGAGCUUAACCGAAUAGGGGAGGCGUAGCGAAAGCGAGUCUUAAUAGGGCGUCUAGUCGCUGGGAAUAGACCCGAAACCGGGCGAUCUAUCCAUGGGCAGGUUGAAGGUUGGGUAACACUAACUGGAGGACCGAACCGACUACCGUUGAAAAGUUAGCGGAUGACCUGUGGAUCGGAGUGAAAGGCUAAUCAAGCUCGGAGAUAGCUGGUUCUCCUCGAAAGCUAUUUAGGUAGCGCCUCAUGUAUCACUGUAGGGGGUAGAGCACUGUUUCGGCUAGGGGGUCAUCCCGACUUACCAAACCGAUGCAAACUCCGAAUACCUACAAGUGCCGAGCAUGGGAGACACACGGCGGGUGCUAACGUCCGUCGUGAAAAGGGAAACAACCCAGACCGUCAGCUAAGGUCCCAAAGUCAUGGUUAAGUGGGAAACGAUGUGGGAAGGCUUAGACAGCUAGGAGGUUGGCUUAGAAGCAGCCACCCUUUAAAGAAAGCGUAAUAGCUCACUAGUCGAGUCGGCCUGCGCGGAAGAUGUAACGGGGCUCAAACCAUGCACCGAAGCUACGGGUAUCAUCUUUUGAUGAUGCGGUAGAGGAGCGUUCUGUAAGCCUGUGAAGGUGAGUUGAGAAGCUUGCUGGAGGUAUCAGAAGUGCGAAUGCUGACAUGAGUAACGACAAUGGGUGUGAAAAACACCCACGCCGAAAGACCAAGGUUUCCUGCGCAACGUUAAUCGACGCAGGGUUAGUCGGUCCCUAAGGCGAGGCUGAAAAGCGUAGUCGAUGGAAAACAGGUUAAUAUUCCUGUACUUCUGGUUAUUGCGAUGGAGGGACGGAGAAGGCUAGGCCAGCCUGGCGUUGGUUGUCCAGGUUUAAGGUGGUAGGCUGAGAUCUUAGGUAAAUCCGGGAUCUUAAGGCCGAGAGCUGAUGACGAGUGUUCUUUUAGAACACGAAGUGGUUGAUGCCAUGCUUCCAAGAAAAGCUUCUAAGCUUCAGGUAACCAGGAACCGUACCCCAAACCGACACAGGUGGUUGGGUAGAGAAUACCAAGGCGCUUGAGAGAACUCGGGUGAAGGAACUAGGCAAAAUGGCACCGUAACUUCGGGAGAAGGUGCGCCGGUGGAGGUGAAGCAUUUACUGCGUAAGCCCCUGCCGGUCGAAGAUACCAGGCCGCUGCGACUGUUUAUUAAAAACACAGCACUCUGCAAACACGAAAGUGGACGUAUAGGGUGUGACGCCUGCCCGGUGCCGGAAGGUUAAUUGAUGGGGUUAGCGCAAGCGAAGCUCUUGAUCGAAGCCCCGGUAAACGGCGGCCGUAACUAUAACGGUCCUAAGGUAGCGAAAUUCCUUGUCGGGUAAGUUCCGACCUGCACGAAUGGCGUAACGAUGGCGGCGCUGUCUCCACCCGAGACUCAGUGAAAUUGAAAUCGCUGUGAAGAUGCAGUGUAUCCGCGGCUAGACGGAAAGACCCCGUGAACCUUUACUAUAGCUUUGCACUGGACUUUGAAUUUGCUUGUGUAGGAUAGGUGGGAGGCUUUGAAGCGUGGACGCCAGUCUGCGUGGAGCCAACCUUGAAAUACCACCCUGGCAACUUUGAGGUUCUAACUCAGGUCCGUUAUCCGGAUCGAGGACAGUGUAUGGUGGGUAGUUUGACUGGGGCGGUCUCCUCCUAAAGAGUAACGGAGGAGUACGAAGGUGCGCUCAGACCGGUCGGAAAUCGGUCGUAGAGUAUAAAGGCAAAAGCGCGCUUGACUGCGAGACAGACACGUCGAGCAGGUACGAAAGUAGGUCUUAGUGAUCCGGUGGUUCUGUAUGGAAGGGCCAUCGCUCAACGGAUAAAAGGUACUCCGGGGAUAACAGGCUGAUACCGCCCAAGAGUUCAUAUCGACGGCGGUGUUUGGCACCUCGAUGUCGGCUCAUCACAUCCUGGGGCUGAAGCCGGUCCCAAGGGUAUGGCUGUUCGCCAUUUAAAGUGGUACGCGAGCUGGGUUUAGAACGUCGUGAGACAGUUCGGUCCCUAUCUGCCGUGGACGUUUGAGAUUUGAGAGGGGCUGCUCCUAGUACGAGAGGACCGGAGUGGACGAACCUCUGGUGUUCCGGUUGUCACGCCAGUGGCAUUGCCGGGUAGCUAUGUUCGGAAAAGAUAACCGCUGAAAGCAUCUAAGCGGGAAACUUGCCUCAAGAUGAGAUCUCACUGGAACCUUGAGUUCCCUAAAGGGCCGUCGAAGACUACGACGUUGAUAGGUUGGGUGUGUAAGCGCUGUGAGGCGUUGAGCUAACCAAUACUAAUUGCCCGUGAGGCUUGACCAU